Molecule: long non-coding RNA, 629 nt
Filed under: Mytilus galloprovincialis (Mediterranean mussel)
Lineage: Eukaryota; Metazoa; Mollusca; Bivalvia; Mytilida; Mytilidae
Source: RNAcentral
CAGUUUUCAGCAUUUUACUUUAAAUAAUAGUCCAAGUAAAACAAAGAUUUGAACAUUUAACAUAAAAUAUCCUCCUGACCUCAAGUUUUAAGGUUGAAUUUUGAAAAACGACAGCAGAAAUCAUGGAUAUUAGAUGCUAGUUGAAUAUUGAUGCACAAAGCAAAUCCUGUUUGUUUUUCUACUGUAAUUUUAAGCCUUAUCUGUGUAUAAUUAGGUAAUUAAUACAUUUGUAAGGGUUGUUCCUUGAACAAAAUACAUAUGGGAGGCACUUUUUAAGAACCAACCCACCCAUAAUAUUAAAAAUUUCCACAUUACUUACAUUUCAUUUCAAUAUUAGUAAUGAAUUUGAAAUUGCCUCUAUUCAUUAUUUUGUAACAUGAUCAAAAUGCACACAGAUCAACAAAUCAACAGUGAUCCUAGCUUAAAACAAUAUUUUCUCCUUGAUAAAUAACAAAACUAAAAGGCAUAUAAACAAAGUAAUGGUGAUACUUUCUUAAUAUGCUCAUCAAAUGAAGUUAAGGAGAGACUAUAGUGUUUUAUGGGUCAUUUUUUUUACGAUUCAAGUUAAGUUCUGAAUUAAAUGUCAAGAUUUAAAAAUACAAGUCACCAUUAUAUGACCUUAAAAUGGC